GCUGCGGGGAGGGUCUUCUUGGGGCCGCCUUGCCCCUCCCCAGUCCGGCCGCGGCGGGGGUUCGAGCGGCUGCUCAGCAAGGCCUGAGUAGGUCCAGGGCAUGAGCGAGGUGUGGGGGGCCGGAGGGCCUCGGUGCCAGGCGGCGCUCACCGUCCUGGCCUCGCUGUGCCGGGCCCGGCCGCCCCCUCUCGGGCUGGACGUGGAGACUUGUCGGAGCUUCGAUCUGCAGCCCUUAGAGCGGAGUCCAAGCGCAGCCGACGGAGGCACCUCUGUCAGCCUCCUCGCCGUGGUAGUUAUUGUGUGUGGCGUGGCCCUGGUGGCAGUUUUUCUCUUUCUCUUUUGGAAGCUGUGCUGGAUGCCCUGGAGGAACAAGGAGGCCUCCAGUCCCUCUUCUGCUAACCCUGCCUCAGAGGCCCUCCAGAGCCCCAGCUCCAGAGGUAACAUGGCGGACAAGCUGAAGGACCCCAGUACCCUGGGCUUCCUAGAAGCAGCUGUGAAGAUCAGCCACACAUCCCCAGAUAUCCCAGCUGAGGUGCAGAUGUCGGUCAAAGAGCAUAUCAUGCGUCAUACACGACUGCAACGGCAGACCACAGAGCCAGCGUCAUCCACCAGGCACACGUCCUUCAAGCGCCACCUGCCACGGCAGAUGCAUGUCUCCAGCGUAGACUAUGGCAAUGAGCUGCCACCAGCGGCUGAGCAGCCCACCAGCAUUGGCCGCAUCAAGCCAGAACUCUACAAGCAGAAGUCAGUGGAUGGGGAUGAUGCCAAGUCGGAAGCUGCCAAGAGCUGUGGGAAGAUCAACUUCAGCCUCCGCUAUGACUACGAGACUGAAACUCUGAUCGUGCGCAUCCUGAAGGCCUUUGACCUCCCUGCCAAGGACUUUUGUGGAAGCUCUGACCCUUAUGUCAAGAUCUACCUCUUGCCUGACCGCAAAUGCAAGCUGCAGACCCGGGUGCACCGUAAGACCCUAAACCCCACCUUUGAUGAGAACUUCCACUUCGCCGUGCCCUAUGAGGAGCUGGCUGACCGCAAGUUGCAUCUCAGUGUCUUUGACUUUGACCGCUUCUCCCGCCAUGACAUGAUUGGGGAGGUCAUCCUGGACAACCUCUUUGAGGCCUCUGACCUAUCCCGGGAGACUUCCAUCUGGAAGGACAUCCAGUACGCCACUAGUGAAAGUGUGGACUUGGGAGAGAUCAUGUUCUCCCUCUGCUACCUGCCCACGGCAGGCAGGCUCACGCUCACAGUGAUCAAGUGUCGCAAUCUCAAGGCAAUGGACAUCACAGGCUAUUCAGAUCCCUACGUCAAAGUGUCCCUGCUGUGUGAUGGACGGAGACUGAAAAAGAAGAAAACGACCAUCAAGAAGAACACCCUCAACCCUGUCUACAAUGAAGCCAUCAUCUUUGACAUUCCGCCAGAGAACAUGGAUCAAGUGAGCUUGCUCAUCUCGGUUAUGGACUACGAUAGAGUGGGCCACAAUGAGAUCAUAGGAGUCUGUCGCGUGGGGAUCAAUGCUGAAGGCCUGGGCAGGGACCACUGGAAUGAGAUGCUGGCAUACCCACGGAAACCUAUUGCACACUGGCACUCCUUGAUGGAGGUAAAGAAAUCCUACAAAGAGGGAACCCCUCGGUUGUGAUUUCAUUCACGUGGAUGCUGCAAGCAGAGAGACAGCCACCGGAGUUAGGAUGGCAGGGCCGAGCUGCCAGCUUCGACAGCGAGAGCUCUUGCCCGUCUCCGAAACCACCGCCAACACCGUGAGCUGCACAGCCAAGCCACACAAAGAGGACUCAGCAAUGUUCUUUUCACACUUGUUCAGCUGUCUAAAUGCAGUGUCGUGCAGUCAUGGCAGUGGCGGCAGCGGCCACUGCCACUCCAUGGUCUUGACUAUUCCUGUGUAGAGCAAGGCCAAGACACUUGUCAUGUGGUCAGAUCUGUCUUAGUCUUUUCUGUCUCCCAAGGUGAUGUUUUUGUGGUUUUCACUUUGUAUGGGUCUGCUGUCAAGAAAAGAAGAAAAAAGGAGUAGGAAAAUAAAAUAAAGGGCGGAGAGUGCAGAAAUUGAUUCUAUGAAAUACAAUGUGAAAUAAUGUUUUUUAAGGAAAGAGAAAUUGAGUCUCUGAAAUUUUGCAUCUCCACCAAGCUCUGCUCGCUAAAGAGACGGCAGGAGGAUGGAGCUGUGGCUGUAUUUUCAGUGUCCUGUGAUAAUCAGACAAAUCCAUCUAAGAGCCUUUCUGAGGCGAAUUCUUCUUUGAAGCCCUUCACUACUGUGACACAAGCCACAGUGUGGACCACUUGUUCCAUGUUGAAAUUAUGAGACCUUUCCAGUGUUUGUGACUCUAUAUGGAGGAAUCUUUGCUCCCCUCUUUGUUGGCUGAUUCCUCGUGGGAACUUGGUCACUUUCUUUAGGAAUGAUCCUGCUGAAACUAACCAUGCCAUAUGUUUUCUGAUGUGCCAUAGUUAAUGAUCACAUUUGUUUGAAAACAGGAUCUUAGUUCUCGAAAAUAACCUUCAUUGUAAAGAAAGAAGGUGCAUAUGUUCCAGAAUGUCUGUGUUAUACAUAGCUUUAUAAUUCCAUGAAGUACUACGCAGCUGUUUAAAAUGCCUAAACAGAGCAAAGAAAAAUCUAGAUAAAAUGUUCUUUUUUGAAUGGGGUAUUUUGACAUCCAAUCAGCAUUUUGAGUCUGUCUCUCUAUGAAGAGCAUUUUCUUGGUUGAAGUCUAGUCAGCCUCAGACUAGUUUAGCCCCACAGACACUGGGACAAUAACUCAUCUUAAACUUUAGUUCUAUAAAUUAAUAAGUAUUCAGUGUUGUUUGUUUCAGUGGUAGUGAGGGGAUUUUUGCUUUUUUGUUUUGUCCAUAAGAUCUCUAUCUUAGGCCAAAUUCAGUUUAGAAAAAAAACAAAAAACCCGAACUAUUCUGUAUCUGUAAUAGCACAUUUCUAUUGGGUGACUAACAGCCUUCCCACCAAGCCCUGGAAGUAGAUUGAUCUGCUCAGUCUCAAGUCUGUACAGCUCUGCAAGCAUGGGAAGGUGAGUUUCCACUUUGGCUUGUGACUAACAGUACCAAUUUCCAGAGCUGUGGGGCUUGGUGAAGCAAGUCAGCUGGAAACCCUUUCUUUCAACAAUGGAAGAUCAAGAACACAAAAGCUAUUCACAUACCUCAUGUCUUAUUCUUUAUGUCACACACUGCUGGAGCAGUAACCAUAAAGCAACCCUUAUUUUAAGUCAAGAUACCAGGUUUCUCUGCCAAUCUAACUUUCAGAGUGUCUGCUAGCUGGAAGAAUGACCAGAUUAGACAUAAGUUAACAGGUUAUUGUGACAAAAGAAACGUUCUACCUAGAAAAAUAAAGGUAGAUAAGUCUAGACUCUAUUCUGUAUGGUCUUAGGCUCAAGACUGGUGUAUAAAGAUGGUUUUUCCCCCAAACAUCGUCUAAUUGAUAGACCUUUCUAGUAAGGCAGUACUGUAGUUGGAAGUUCUCUUGAGAGGGAGAAAAACCCCAAGAUGAUGACAAGACUCCUAGCAAGCAAGCAACCAACUUGUGUUUCUUAACUCUAGAUGGACCCCAUCAAGAUGGCUGUGCAGCUAUUAAACUGGCAAGAGGUAAAGGGGCACAGAAAUUAGUGUGAGUGUCCUUCCAGAAGUGACCUCCGAGUACAUGCCCACUGCCACUUCUAAACCUUUAGGCAGGUGGGCUGCCCCUUUCUAAGUUUUUGGAGAGGAGGGUGUAGUCAGUAUGAAUCUUGGCACUGCUUGUCUGAGAGACCCUUCUAUGUCCAGCUGCUCGUUCCUAUGAGGGAACAUCCCAGCUAUUUCAGAAAAUCAUAUCCUGAUUUUCCUACUCACCACCCCAACCAACUACUCUGGCUCCAGCAGCCUUGGUAUAUUACAGGACCAGGAAGGCUGUUAGCUCCUGGAUCUCUCCCACCAGUCCCCCAGACCCACCCACAAGAGCAACCAGUCCUCAACCUGAACCAAGAAUGGCACCUGAACAGGCUUCUCAUUUCAUUAGCUCAGGAUGCCUCCCUCUCAAAUGAGGAGUUGAAAUCUGCUCCAGCAUAAACUGAAAAUCAAAGUUGAUUCAUUUGUUGCCUUCCCCUGACACAAGAAUCCCCCUGGGUGGUGGUGGUGGUGAGCUUUACUGAAGUUGUGAUAACCAGGGCCAUUUGCACAUAGAUGUUUUUUUUAAAGACAUUAAGUCCCCUUUAUUUAGCAGUGUUUCUGGGCUGAAAGAUGCUCCCCUACCCCCUGCACUUACCCAGGAUGUUAAUUAAUUAUGUCAUCAUUUAAAAAAAUUAUGUUGUUAAUUACUGCUUUGUUUCUUCCCACCCCGUCACAGCCUGGAGUUUUUAUUCAAUUAAAUCUCUGUCUCU
This is an RNA transcript of Nannospalax galili (Upper Galilee mountains blind mole rat), 4364 nucleotides long. It is a transcript of the gene named synaptotagmin 6, with no coding region annotated. The transcript is spliced from 8 exons. Lineage: Eukaryota; Metazoa; Chordata; Mammalia; Rodentia; Spalacidae. The record is from RefSeq and is a predicted model, not a curated record.